UACGUAGGUGGCGAGCGUUGUCCGGAUUUACUGGGCGUAAAGGGCGUGCAGGCGGCCCGUUAAGUGCAUGGUGAAAGCUCCCGGCUCAACUGGGAGAGGUCUGUGUAUACUGGCGGGCUUGAGGGGGGUAGAGGAAAGUGGAAUUCCCGGUGUAGUGGUGAUAUGCGUAGAUAUCGGGAGGAACACCUGUGGCGAAGGCGGCUUUCUGGGCCGUACCUGACGCUGAGACGCGAAAGCGUGGGGAGCGAACAGG
Molecule: ribosomal RNA, 253 nt
Filed under: uncultured bacterium
Lineage: Bacteria
Description: partial 16S ribosomal RNA
Rfam family: Bacterial small subunit ribosomal RNA
Source: RNAcentral